UAUUCUUCAGCCCUGUCAACCUUGCACCUUUCAUCUUGUCUAAAAUUGACUGGUGAACAGUCCUGUGAAGGGAGAAACCAUAAGAACUUUGCUCAGCUGUAGGUCAUCACGAUAAAGGACACUGGCAAUUCAAAUAAUUCUGAGAAUUUGACAACUUGCCUGGGACACGAUGCCGUGAAUUAAUUAAUCUACCUUGGCAGCGCUCCACUGGUGAAUAUUUAAAUAGAUGUAUUUUUAACAAAGGAGUUCAUGGGCAGGAAACAGCGAGCAAAUGUUGGAGAACGCUUGGGUAUAGAAAAAAUUCUAAAUGUGUUCUCUCAUUGUUCUGCUGCAAGGAAUUCAUUUAAGUGCUGAUACUUUGGAGCCCUCUACUGGAACAUGUACCAUGCAGCACAGACUUACUGUGUGAAUAUGGACAAGGCAUUUGGGCAGAAUUUUCUGUGUUUCAAUAUUUGGGUGCCCAUCUCAAGAUACCAGAGGCUUGAUUUCAGUAGUACAAAAGAUUGACUGCCUCCUGGAAAUC
Alligator mississippiensis (American alligator) is the source of this 523-nucleotide long non-coding RNA. RefSeq lists it as uncharacterized. NCBI's taxonomy places the organism in Eukaryota, Metazoa, Chordata, Crocodylia, Alligatoridae. The record is from RefSeq and is a predicted model, not a curated record. The transcript has 4 exons.